UACGAAGGGGGCUAGCGUUGCUCGGAAUCACUGGGCGUAAAGCGCACGUAGGCGGCUUUCUAAGUCAGGGGUGAAAUCCUGGAGCUCAACUCCAGAACUGCCUUUGAUACUGGAGAGCUUGAGUCCGGAAGAGGUGAGUGGAACUCCGAGUGUAGAGGUGAAAUUCGUAGAUAUUCGGAAGAACACCAGUGGCGAAGGCGGCUCACUGGUCCGGUACUGACGCUGAUGUGCGAAAGCGUGGGGGAGCAAACAGG
RNAcentral lists this ribosomal RNA (254 nucleotides) under uncultured bacterium. RNAcentral's name for it is "partial 16S ribosomal RNA". It matches the Rfam family "Bacterial small subunit ribosomal RNA", at positions 524 to 776 of the family's 1533-position model. The record is from RNAcentral.